This 75-nucleotide transfer RNA is filed under the name Escherichia coli. Its description in RNAcentral is "tRNA-Gly". It matches the Rfam family "tRNA". From Rfam's summary of the family: Transfer RNA (tRNA) molecules are approximately 80 nucleotides in length. Their secondary structure includes four short double-helical elements and three loops (D, anti-codon, and T loops). Further hydrogen bonds mediate the characteristic L-shaped molecular structure. tRNAs have two regions of fundamental functional importance: the anti-codon, which is responsible for specific mRNA codon recognition, and the 3' end, to which the tRNAs corresponding amino acid is attached (by aminoacyl-tRNA synthetases). tRNAs cope with the degeneracy of the genetic code in two manners: having more than one tRNA (with a specific anti-codon) for a particular amino acid; and 'wobble' base-pairing, i.e. permitting non-standard base-pairing at the 3rd anti-codon position. Lineage: Bacteria; Pseudomonadati; Pseudomonadota; Gammaproteobacteria; Enterobacterales; Enterobacteriaceae. The record is from RNAcentral. RNAcentral also lists the same sequence under 5 other names.
GCAGGCAUCGUAUAAUGGCUAUUACCUCAGCCUUCCAAGCUGAUGAUGCGGGUUCGAUUCCCGCUGCCCGCUCCA